RNAcentral lists this small RNA (630 nucleotides) under Pan troglodytes (chimpanzee). Its description in RNAcentral is "processed transcript". Lineage: Eukaryota; Metazoa; Chordata; Mammalia; Primates; Hominidae. The record is from RNAcentral.
GCAGACAGAAAAAUUCACUGCAAGUAGAGCACUUUCUAGAUUGCUCCUGGAGUGUGGGAACAACAGUCUCUCCUGUCCACGUUACUGAAUCCAGAAAAAAGAAACAAAUUCAAGGAGCAGCAGCCAAAUACCUACGUUGGCUUUAAAGAGUUCUCUAGAAAGUGUUCGGAAAAAUGGAGAUCCAUCUCAAAGCAUGAAAAGGCCAAAUAUGAAGCCCUGGCCAAACUCGACAAAGCCCGAUACCAGGAAGAAAUGAUGAAUUAUGUUGGCAAGAGGAAGAAACGGAGAAAGCGGGAUCCCCAGGCACCCAGACGGCCUCCAUCAUCCUUCCUACUCUUCUGCCAAGACCACUAUGCUCAGCUGAAGAGGGAGAACCCGAACUGGUCGGUGGUGCAGGUGGCCAAGGCCACAGGGAAGAUGUGGUCAACAGUGACAGACCUGGAGAAGCACCCUUAUGAGCAAAGAGCGGCUCUCCUGAGAGCUAAGUACUUCGAGGAACUUGAACUCUACCGUAAACAAUGUAAUGCCAGGAAGAAGUACCAAAUGUCAGCUAGAAACUGGUGAAGAGGGAAAAGAGUCAGGCAGAGCUGAUGGAUCCAGUUUGAAAAAACAAAAUGCCAUUCAACCGUA